Molecule: ribosomal RNA, 253 nt
Filed under: uncultured bacterium
Lineage: Bacteria
Description: partial 16S ribosomal RNA
Rfam family: Bacterial small subunit ribosomal RNA
Source: RNAcentral
UACGUAGGGUGCAAGCGUUAAUCGGAAUUACUGGGCGUAAAGCGUGCGCAGGCGGUUUUGUAAGUUUGUCGUGAAAGCCCCGGGCUCAACCUGGGAAUUGCGAUGAAGACUGCAAGGCUUGAAUCUGGCAGAGGGGGGUAGAAUUCCACGUGUAGCAGUGAAAUGCGUAGAGAUGUGGAGGUACACCGAUGGCGAAGGCAGCCCCCUGGGUCAAGAUUGACGCUCAUGCACGAAAGCGUGGGGAGCAAACAGG